GGGUGUGUGGUGUAGUGGUUAGCGCGCUGCGCUAUGAACCCAGCGAUCCGGGUUCGAUUCCCGCACACGGCCA
This is a non-coding RNA of Petromyzon marinus (sea lamprey), 73 nucleotides long. Lineage: Eukaryota; Metazoa; Chordata; Hyperoartia; Petromyzontiformes; Petromyzontidae. The record is from the annotation of a RefSeq genome assembly.